This 6213-nucleotide long non-coding RNA is filed under the name Podarcis lilfordi (Lilford's wall lizard). The record is from RNAcentral. Lineage: Eukaryota; Metazoa; Chordata; Lepidosauria; Squamata; Lacertidae.
GGCCAGGGGAGCCCCAGGGGGACGUGUCAGGAGCAGGGGGCCAGCGGGGGAUCCCAAAGUGGCAGCUGGGCGUCAGGACCAGCCUCCCCGCCAGAGUGCAGCGAAGGGGGUGGAGGUUCCAGUGUAUCAGGGGAAGCAGCUCCGGCAGCAGAGAAGGGAGGGAGGUCGGAGCAAGCCACCCUCCCGGAAGGGGAGGGGAGUAGUGAAGGGAGUAGUGUAACUGUCAAAAGGAAGGUUAGAGGUUGGGCGCGCGCGCCAAGUUCAAAUGUGGAGGCGCGCGGAAGUACAGGGAGCCCGGAGGAGGAGCCAGGUCCCAAAGCCCGCAGGAGGGGGAAGAGCAAUCUGGGGAUUCCGCGUCAGGGGAAUCCAGGAGGGGCGAAACCCCAGCGGGCAGGAAGACCCUGCGGAAAAGGAAAGAGAGGAAGAGGUGGAGCAGCGCAAGCCUCUUAAACUGGUGCAGGGGAGGGACUGACUCAGAGGGGACUUCAACGGUCUAAGCGUAACAGACGUGGGGCUGCGCGCCUCGGAUGUGAAGCAAACAAUGAACUCCAAUAAACACCUUUGUAUAUAAGAAGAACUUGGCGUUGGUCCUUUGUGAGCUGAGACCUGAGGCAGCCCUGACAGUAAGUCCCCUCUCCUAAAACCGCAAACAUUUUUUUUUUUGCAAAGCUCACGAAGUUUGGCAGACGUGACUACUGAGGAGCAGAUAACGACCCUGCGAAACGCAGUCGCCGAGCUCUCCGCUGCGGUAGUGGUCUCCCAGAGGAAGGUUGACGAAGCAGAAGCGCGAUGCCAGGAUCUGCAAGCCAGGUGGGACCGUGCGUGCAAAGAGGGGUUCCCGGGGUCCAGAUCAGAGGGAAUCGGACUCGGACGGAGGGGGGGCAAUUUAGUAGCCCACUUCGAUGGGAACCUGAAGCAUUAUCCCAGUUUCAGAGCAGACGUCGUAUACGCGCUGCAUUUGCUUCGAAAAGACUUCAAAGAUGAGGAGGAGAAAGUAGGCUUUAUUGUAUCCCACUUGCAUGGGGAAGCUAGAGCCUGGUUACGCAAUUUGUGGCGCGAAGAUGGUCCUGCCCGCAGGAACUCUGACGAAUUUAUCAAAGCCAUGGACGCUUGCUUCCAAUCUACCGUUGACGUUGAUGUGGCGCGACGGGAGAUGCAUGGAUUGCGGCAGGGCAAGGCUACAGUGCGUCAGUACCAUUCUCGCUUUUUUGCAUUGCUGAAUGUGCUGGGCUGGGAAAAAGACUCCCUGGCAGUGAGAGACUUGUUCUGGGAGGGGCUCCAUGGCUCCGUAAAAGAUGAGUUGGCCAGGGGGGACAGACCUCAAACCCUAGCAGACGUCGUGCAGAGGGCACUCACGAUAGGAGUGCGCCACGAAGAACGCCCUUGGCACAGUGAGGAGGGGCGCCAAGUCCGCGCACCAGCUAGAGCGCCUCCAAAAGGACCUGGGACGUACGCAUCCCUCGCCUCUGCUGAGGGCGGGGGAGGAACCAAUGGAACUUGGUGGUGCAAAGGCUCGGACAGCUGCCGGAGCCUCAGCGUCCGGAGCAGUCAAGGCGAAGCCUCCUAGAGGGACCAGGAAGUGUUACAUCUGUGACAGUGCGCAGCACAUGGCCAAAGAGUGUCCCCAGAGGCUCCAGAAGCACACUGCAGCCUUAGCAACAGUAACAGAAGCAGCGCUCCAAGGAGAGCAGUUUCAGGGAAACGACAAUGCCUGGCUGGAAGCAGAGAUGCUGGGGCUCAGCCAGGCGAGUCAGUAAAGCAGUCCCCAGCGCUUUUGCAGCCUACAGAUCCCUUACCACCCAAGCCAGUGGUGCAGCUCACUGCUACUCUCCAGCUACCUAAUGGACUCACCCUGGAAGUCCCCAUUACAAUUGACUCAGGGAGCAACGCAGACUUCGUGGGGGUGCAGUUCGUCAAGCAGCAUCGCAUAGCGCUUACCAGCCUCGCUGCCUCUGAACGUCGUCACAGUAGAUGGCAGGAAGUUGCUGGGCGGGCAAGUGGUACAGCAGACGCCACCCAUGGUGAUGCAGAUUGGGAAUCAUCGCGAGGUCAUCAGUUUCAACGUCACCCGCCUGUCAGACACGCCUAUAGUGUUAGGCAUGAGUUGGCUGGAUAGACACAGCCCAUCAUUAGCGUGGUACCAGCGGCAGACCAGCCAGGAGGAGGAGGGCCAGGAGGAGGGGCAACAGUUGCAUCUAGGCAUGGUGCAGGCGGUGCCCCACAAGUACAAGGGGUUUUUGGAGGUCUUCUGCGAAAAGGAAGCUGACCAAUUACCACCCCACCGGCCCUACGACUGUGCAAUUGACCUCUUACCAGGGGCGACGCUGCCGACUGCGAAGCUGUAUUCCAUGUCUGAAGAUGAGAUGCAGGAACUCAGGGAGUUCAUAGAUCACAAUUUGAAGCGGGGAUUCAUCCGAGAAUCCAAGGCAGUGGGGGGGCAGUCCUGUGUUUUUCGUGAAGAAGAAGGACACGCCUCAAAAAAAGGCUCAUUGUGGACUAUAGGGCCAUAAACUCGAUGACAAAGCCCAAGGCCUUCCCCAUGCCCAAAAUUGACGACCUGCUCGCGACGGUGAGGAAGGGGAGGAUCUUCACCAAGUUGGAUCUACGCGGAGCAUACAAUCUAAUACGCAUGAGGGAAGGUGACGAGUGGAAGACGGCCAUGUUCACGCCGCUGGGCACCUAUGAAUACAGAGUUAUGCCGCUUGGUCUCCAAAAUGGCUCCCACUGUUUCCAAGCAUUCAUGCACCACGUGCUAGCGGGACUCCUCUACAAGAAGUGCGUAUGCUUCCUCGACGACAUUCUGAUCUUCUCAGAAUCGCAGGAGACUCACGAGAGAGACGUAAAGGAGGUCCUGCAGAGGCUACGGGAGCACAGACUCUACGCCAAACUGGAGAAGUGCCAGUUCGACGUGACGGAGGUGGAUUUCCUGGGCUACCGGCUGUCCGACAAGGGACUAGCCAUGGACAGCGCCAAGGUCCGCGCGGUGUUGGACUGGAACAGCCCGCGCAAUCGGAAGGAGGUCCAGAGGUCUCGCCGGCUUCGCCAACUUUUACCGCAAGUUCAUCAGGGGUUUCGCGAAAGAGACGGCAGCUAUCACGGACACCCUCAGUUCCAAGAAGAAAAGGUUCACCUGGACGGACCAGGCGGAGCAGUCCUUCAGGAGACUUAAGAGCCUCUUCGCGUCCGAAGAACAGCUGCUACACGUGAAUCCCGGCAGGCCCACGCGGGCUGAGACUGACGCCUCUGACAGAGCACUGGGGGCCGCCCCCUUGCAGGAAGAUCCGCAAGGGAACUGGAGACCCUGCGCUUUCUAUUCCCGGAAGCUCAGCAACUCGGAACAGAACUACACCAUCUGGGACAGGGAGUUGUUGGCCAUCCACGCGGCUUUCAAGGCGUGGAGGCACUUCCUCAUCGGAGCCAAGCACACCGUGCAGGUCCGCACGGACCACAAGAACCUAGAGUAUUGGCGCACGGCGAAGCUCCAGAGCCAGAGGCACAUACGAUGGGCGGAGUUCUUUGCGGAUUUCGACUUCAGGAUAGAGUAUAUCCCGGGAGACAACAACGUCAUAGCGGAUGCGCUCUCCAGGAAACCGCAGUAUCUCGAGGAAGCGGCACCAGUGGCAGCCAAGCACAUUUUCGCACCGCAGGCGUGGGCGUGCGCUUCCAUCGCCGUGGACCUGGACGCGGUGCGACGCGCGCUGCAGAUGGAUCCGUUCGCACGAUCCAAGAUGGAGGAGGUGCGAAGAGGCACAGCAAAGGACGACGAAUUCCAGAUACGCGACGGCCUGCUAACCCGCAAAGGUGCUCUCUACGUGCCGGGAGACGAUCUCCGCGCGAAGGUUCUACAGCAGUUGCACGACGCACCCAGCGCGGGUCACUUCGGCAAGGAAAAGACGGCGGACUUAGUAGCCAGGGACUUUUGGUGGCCCCAGAUGCGAGGAGAGGUCGCGGAUUACGUCGCCAGGUGUGACACUUGUCAGAGGUCCAAGCCAGUGCACAAGAAGCCAGCGGGACUGCUGGAACCGCUGGAGACGCCACUACAGCCGUGGGAAAGGGUGGCGCUGGACUUUGUUACUGAUCUGCCCAGUUCGCGAGGCAAGACGGCGGUGCUUGUGGUUGUAGACCUGUUCACCAAGAUGGCGCACUUCAUUCCUUGCGCGAAGGUGGCGACAGCGGAACAGACCGCCAAGCUGUUCAUAGACCACGUGUUCCGGGUGCACGGCUUACCACGGUCCAUCCUGUCCGACCGUGGUCGCCAAUUCAUUUCCAGUUUCUGGCAGAAGCUCCUGGGCAUCCUGAAUGUCAAGAUCAACUUAGCGUCGGCGAGACACCCGCAAACCAACGGCCAAGCGGAGAGGGUCAACGCCAUCAUGCAGCAGUACCUGCGAUGUUACGCCAAUCAACAGCCUGCAACUUGGGUGGACUACUUACCGAUGGCCGAGUUUGCCUACAACAACACGAAGCACGCGUCAACGGGGUGACACCGUUCUUCGCCAACAAUGGGCGACAUCCCAGAACCUUCCCGGGGUUGGAGACAACGACGCAGGGGGAGCCGCAGGGAGCUGAGCAUUUAGCAGCAGAAUUGCAGGAGGUCCACGAGGAGCUACGACGGCACUUGGAGCUAGCUAAACACGCCUACAAAGUGCAGGCAGACAGGCACAGGAGGGCAGGAGAAGACAUCCAGGUGGGGGACUGGGUAUGGUUAGCAGCCCAGGCGGUGCCGGCCAAGUCGUUAGCUAAGAAGAAGCUAGGACACAAACAGCUAGGGCCAUACCAAGUUGAGGGCAGGAUCAAUCCCGUAGCUUUCGGUUGACCCUCCCAGAAGGUUCCAGAAUGCACCCGGUCUUUCAUAGGUCGGUGCUUACACCCUACAAGGCCCCACACAGAUUUCAGGAGCCAGGGACGGCACCAGACCCACGUAGAAAGUCACCGGGGGGGGGAAGUCACCGAGGGCCCCGACACUCAACGAGGUCACGGAAAUUCUGGACUCGAGAUGGGGGGAGGAGGGAGUAGAAUACCUCCUCGCCAGAGAAGGUACCCCGGCCAGCGCCAACAGUUGGGUGCCAGAUUAUGCUCUGGAGGAACCUCUUCUUAAAGACGAGUUCCAUGCACUCUUCCCACACAGGCCCAUGCCAGCGGAGUAUUUUGACGACUGGCAUUUUACGCCCACACAUUCAGGCAGCACCAUCCGGGGGUUCGCCUCCGCAGCAGCGACCACGCCCGAAUCCAGCCCGCCAAGGGGAUCGUGCGCGGGGUGGACACGGACCGCUCUUACUGGUGGGACGAUCAACCAGAAGAGGAGUGGCGCAGGAGGUGGCUAAGGGGGCCUUGGCAAGCAGCAUCGCCUGAAGUAACAGGGGGAGGGGAGGACAUGGAUGUGUUGGGGGAGGACCCCGGUUUCGAGCACUCAUACACGGAACUGGAAGCAGAGGAGAUCGAUGUCGACGGCCUGCAUCCAGCAUCUACCCCCGCUACAACGGAGCUCCCGGAACCUGCACCCGAGCAGCGGGAGGGGGGAAGGGGGGGCUUCGAGGGGGGGAUGGAUGUCAGGGGUUCAGGGACAGAGGCACAGGGUAGGCAGGAGAUGGAGAGCGAUGGGGAUGAAUCCCAGGACAGCGAGGAAGAGGAUGACAAUGACUCAAGAGAUUCCAUGAGUCUUUCCAGCGAAUCAGAGGAUUCCCAGAAGGGGGCGCCGGUGGUCAAGGCCAGCCCCAGGGGGGACGUGUCAGGAGCAGGGGGCCAGCGGGGGAUCCCAAAGUGGCAGCUGGGCGUCAGGACCAGCCUCCCCGCCAGAGUGCAGCGAAGGGGGUGGAGGUUCCAGUGUAUCAGGGGAAGCAGCUCCGGCAGCAGAGAAGGGAGGGAGGUCGGAGCAAGCCACCCUCCCGGAAGGGGAGGGGAGUAGUGAAGGGAGUAGUGUAACUGUCAAGAGGAAGGUUAGAGGCUGGGCGCGCGCGCCAAGUUCAAAUGUGGAGGCGCGCGGAAGUACAGGGAGCCCGGAGGAGGAGCCAGGUCCCAAAGCCCGCAGGAGGGGGGAAGAGCAAUCUGGGGAUUCCGCGUCAGGGGAAUCCAGGAGGGGCGAAACCCCAGCGGGCAGGAAGACCCUGCGGAAAAGGAAAGAGAGGAAGAGGUGGAGCAGCGCAAGCCUCUUAAACUGGUGCAGGGGAGGGACUGACUCAGAGGGGACUUCAACGGUCUAAGCGUAACAGACGUGGG